RNAcentral lists this ribosomal RNA (254 nucleotides) under uncultured bacterium. RNAcentral's name for it is "partial 16S ribosomal RNA". It matches the Rfam family "Bacterial small subunit ribosomal RNA", at positions 524 to 776 of the family's 1533-position model. The record is from RNAcentral.
UACGUAGGGAGCAAGCGUUGUCCGGAAUCAUUGGGCGUAAAGCGCGCGUAGGUGGCUUCGUAAGUCCGUUGUGAAAGUCAAAGGCUCAACCUUUGAAAGCCGAUGGAUACUGCGGAGCUAGAGUACGGAAGAGGCGAGUGGAAUUCCUGGUGUAGCGGUGGAAUGCGCAGAUAUCAGGAGGAACACCGGUGGCGAAGGCGCCCACUCUGGGCCGAAACUGACGCUGAGGAGCGAAAGCGUGGGUAGCAAACAGG